GGCCCCGUAGUUUAGUUGAAUAGAACGUAGGAUUCCGGUUCCUAAGGUCGUGGGUUUGAGUCCCGCCGGGGUCACCA
This 77-nucleotide transfer RNA is filed under the name Bacteroidales bacterium. RNAcentral's name for it is "tRNA-Arg". It matches the Rfam family "tRNA". From Rfam's summary of the family: Transfer RNA (tRNA) molecules are approximately 80 nucleotides in length. Their secondary structure includes four short double-helical elements and three loops (D, anti-codon, and T loops). Lineage: Bacteria; Pseudomonadati; Bacteroidota; Bacteroidia; Bacteroidales. The record is from RNAcentral.